Molecule: unclassified non-coding RNA, 298 nt
Organism: Mola mola (ocean sunfish)
Lineage: Eukaryota; Metazoa; Chordata; Actinopteri; Tetraodontiformes; Molidae
Rfam family: Metazoan signal recognition particle RNA
About the family: The signal recognition particle (SRP) is a universally conserved ribonucleoprotein. It is involved in the co-translational targeting of proteins to membranes. The eukaryotic SRP consists of a 300-nucleotide 7S RNA and six proteins: SRPs 72, 68, 54, 19, 14, and 9.
Source: Ensembl
GCCGGGCGUGGUGGCGCGCGCCUGUAAUCCAAGCUACCGGGAGGCUGAGACUGGCGGAUCGUUUGAGCUCAGGAGUUCUGAGUUGCAGCGGACUAUGUCGAUCGGGUGUCCGCACUAAGUUCGGUAUCGAUAUGGUGCUCCUGGGGGAGCUCGGGACUACCAGGUCGCCUAAGGAGGGGUGCACCGGCCCAGGUCGGAAACGGAGCAGGUCAAAGCCCCCGUGCCGCUCAGUAGUGGGAUCGCGCCCGUGAAUAGACGCUGUAGCGCAGCCUGAGUAAUACAGCGGGACUCAGUUUCU